GUGGGGAAUCUUGCGCAAUGGGCGAAAGCCUGACGCAGCCAUGCCGCGUGAAUGAUGAAGGUCUUAGGAUUGUAAAAUUCUUUCACCGGGGACGAUAAUGACGGUACCCGGAGAAGAAGCUCCGGCUAACUUCGUGCCAGCAGCCGCGGUAAUACGAAGGGGGCUAGCGUUGCUCGGAAUUACUGGGCGUAAAGGGCGCGUAGGCGGACAGUUUAGUCAGAGGUGAAAGCCCAGGGCUCAACCUUGGAAUUGCCUUUGAUACUGGCUGUCUUGAGUACGGGAGAGGUGAGUGGAACUCCGAGUGUAGAGGUGAAAUUCGUAGAUAUUCGGAAGAACACCAGUGGCGAAGGCGACUCACUGGCCCGUUACUGACGCUGAGGCGCGAAAGCGUGGGGAGCAAACAGGAUUAGAUACCCCUGUAGUCC
This 425-nucleotide ribosomal RNA is filed under the name uncultured bacterium. Its description in RNAcentral is "partial 16S ribosomal RNA". It matches the Rfam family "Bacterial small subunit ribosomal RNA", at positions 354 to 796 of the family's 1533-position model. The record is from RNAcentral.